RNAcentral lists this long non-coding RNA (455 nucleotides) under Equus asinus (donkey). RNAcentral's name for it is "lncRNA (ENSEASG00005025227.1)". The record is from RNAcentral. Lineage: Eukaryota; Metazoa; Chordata; Mammalia; Perissodactyla; Equidae.
CAAGACUUCUCCAAGGAGGUGGACUUGGAUCUCAGCCUUAAGAGAUGAGUAGAAGUUUGCCAAAGAUGGAGAGCAUCCCAAACAGAACAGAGAUGACCAGGUCAAGAACUUCACGGUGGCAAGUCCCUGGAUACCUGCUGGGCUGAGCAGAAGGAAGCGUCUCCCACCCCCUGCCCUGCUCAACUUCAAGUACUGGGAACCCCCAGCAACAGCAGUCCCACUGGCAGGCAGUGUCUGGAAUCAGUCCUGCUGACCCAAACCAGAUGUGAGCCAUAUUUGGGAAUCCAGCCUAGGAAGCACACGAAACGAACACCGGCCAUCUGAAUUCAGCAAACUCAUGUAUUUGGAUGCUCGAAAGCAGCAGUCAUCUAUCAAAGGAAGUGUAUUGGACUAAAUGGAGAGAUUUUUAAUAAGAGGCAAGGGGGUGCACUUUCCCUAAUAAAAAGAGCAGAGAG